This 1431-nucleotide ribosomal RNA is filed under the name Triticum aestivum (bread wheat). RNAcentral's name for it is "partial small subunit ribosomal RNA". The record is from RNAcentral. Lineage: Eukaryota; Viridiplantae; Streptophyta; Magnoliopsida; Poales; Poaceae.
AUGAAAGGAGGCAAGGCGAUGGGCCCUGAUUGUAUCCCCAUUGAGGUGUGGAAAGGUCUCGGGGACAUAGCGAUAGUAUGGCUAACCAAGCUUUUCAACCUCAUUUUUCGGGCAAACAAGAUGCCAGAAGAAUGGAGAUGGAGUAUAUUAGUACCAAUCUUCAAGAACAAGGGGGAUGUUCAGAGUUGUACUAAUUACCGUGGAAUUAAGCUGAUGAGCCAUACAAUGAAGCUAUGGGAGAGAGUCAUUGAGCACCGCUUAAGAAGAAUGACAAGCGUGACCAAAAAUCAGUUUGGUUUCAUGCCUGGGAGGUCGACCAUGGAAGCCAUUUUCUUGGUACGACAACUUAUGGAGAGAUAUAGGGAGCAUAAGAAGGACUUGCAUAUGGUGUUCAUUGACUUGGAGAAGGCCUAUGAUAAGAUACCGCGGAAUGUCAUGUGGUGGGCCUUGGAGAAACAAAAAGUCCCAGCAAAGUACAUUACCCUCAUCAAGGACAUGUACAAUAAUGUUGUGACAAGUGUUCGAACAAGUGAUGUCGACACCGAUGACUUCCCGAUUAAGAUAGGACUGCAUCAGGGGUCAGCUUUGAGCCCUUAUCUUUUUGCAUUGGUGAUGGAUGAGGUCACAAGGGGUAUACAAGGAGAUAUCCCAUGGUGUAUGCUCUUUGCGGAUGAUGUGGUGCUAGUUGACGAUAGUCGGACGGGGGUAAAUAGGAAGUUAGAGUUAUGGAGACAAACCUUGGAAUCGAAAGGGUUUAGGCUUAGUAGAACUAAAACCGAGUACAUGAUGUGCGGUUUCAGUACUACUAGCUGUGAGGAGGAGGAGGUUAGCCUUGAUGGCCAGGUGGUACCUCGGAAGGACACCUUUCGGUAUUUGGGGUCAAUGUUGCAGGAGGAUGGGGGUAUUGAUGAAGAUGUGAACCAUCGAAUCAAAGCCGGAUGGAUGAAGUGGCGCCAAGCUUCUGGCAUUCUCUGUGACAAGAGAGUGCCACAACAGCUAAAAGGCAAGUUCUACAGGACGGCGGUUCGACCCGCAAUGUUGUAUGGCGCGGAGUGUUGGCCGACUAAAAGGCGACAUGUUCAACAGUUAGGUGUGGCGGAGAUGCGUAUGUUGAGAUGGAUGUGUGGCCACACGAGGAAGGAUCGAGUCCGGAAUGAUGAUAUACGAGAUAGAGUUGGGGUAGCACCAAUUGAGGAGAAGCUUGUCCAACAUCGUUUGAGAUGGUUUGGGCAUAUUCAGCGCAGGCCUCCAGAAGCUCCGGUGCAUAGCGGACGGCUAAAGCGUGCGGAGAAUGUCAAGAGAGGGCGGGGUCGACCGAUUUUGACAUGGGAGGAGUCCGUUAAGAGAGACCUGAAGGAUUGGAGUAUCGACAAAGAGCUAGCUAUGGACAGGGGUGCGUGGAAGCUUGCUAUCCAUGUGCCAGAGCCAUGA